RNAcentral lists this ribosomal RNA (490 nucleotides) under uncultured bacterium. RNAcentral's name for it is "partial 16S ribosomal RNA". It matches the Rfam family "Bacterial small subunit ribosomal RNA", at positions 30 to 507 of the family's 1533-position model. The record is from RNAcentral.
AUUGAACGCUGGCGGCAGGCCUAACACAUGCAAGUCGAACGGUAACAGGAAGCAGCUUGCUGCUUCGCUGACGAGUGGCGGACGGGUGAGUAAUGUCUGGGAAGCUGCCUGAUGGAGGGGGAUAACUACUGGAAACGGUAGCUAAUACCGCAUAAUGUCGCAAGACCAAAGAGGGGGACCUUCGGGCCUCUUGCCAUCGGAUGUGCCCAGAUGGGAUUAGCUUGUUGGUGGGGUAACGGCUCACCAAGGCGACGAUCCCUAGCUGGUCUGAGCGGAUGACCAGCCACACUGGAACUGAGACACGGUCCAGACUCCUACGGGAGGCAGCAGUGGGGAAUAUUGCACAAUGGGCGCAAGCCUGAUGCAGCCAUGCCGCGUGUAUGAAGAAGGCCUUCGGGUUGUAAAGUACUUUCAGCGGGGAGGAAGGGAGUAAAGUUAAUACCUUUGCUCAUUGACGUUACCCGCAGAAGAAGCACCGGCUAACUCCGUG